This 512-nucleotide ribosomal RNA is filed under the name uncultured bacterium. Its description in RNAcentral is "bacterial SSU rRNA". It matches the Rfam family "Bacterial small subunit ribosomal RNA", at positions 388 to 918 of the family's 1533-position model. The record is from RNAcentral.
CCAGCCAUGCCGCGUGAGUGAUGAAGGCCUUAGGGUCGUAAAGCUCUUUCGCCUGUGAUGAUAAUGACAGUAGCAGGUAAAGAAACCCCGGCUAACUCCGUGCCAGCAGCCGCGGUAAUACGGUGGGGGUUAGCGUUGUUCGGAAUUACUGGGCGUAAAGCGCGCGUAGGCGGAUUAGUCAGUUAGAGGUGAAAUCCCAGGGCUCAACCCUGGAACUGCCUUUAAUACUGCUAGUCUUGAGUUCGAGAGAGGUGAGUGGAAUUCCGAGUGUAGAGGUGAAAUUCGUAGAUAUUCGGAGGAACACCAGUGGCGAAGGCGGCUCACUGGCUCGAUACUGACGCUGAGAUGCGAAAGUGUGGGGAGCAAACAGGAUUAGAUACCCUGGUAGUCCACACCGUAAACGAUGAAUGCCAGUCGUCGGCAAGCAUGCUUGUCGGUGACACACCUAACGGAUUAAGCAUUCCGCCUGGGGAGUACGGCCGCAAGGUUAAAACUCAAAGGAAUUGACGGGG